UCGUUUCCUUUUCGUUAACAAUUGUGAGACACGAAACAGCUUGACCAUGAGAUCUCCCUCAUGGAGUCGAACUACCUGAAGGAUAAGACGUCACACAUAUCCAUUUUCAUGGCAUCGUCACAUGACCCAUUGAUCGGUUGUGAUUCAACUCUUAAUAGGAACACAGUAGAACUGGUGUUGGUAUAUCUGUCUUUAGAUAAGCUUGCAUAUAUCUUGUCACUGAAAAAGGAAUGUUCAGAAGUGAGAUUAGUGGCAUUAUUCUGACAUGGAUUUCAUAUGGUUACUUGUUUUGCAGUUGACUCAGAUUGAAGGUCAGUUAAUCAUCACUGGGCACUCCCUGGGAGGAUCCGUUGCUUCUCUCUUCACCUUACGCCUGCUAGAUGGCAAUUUAUUAAAACCCAAAUGCCGCCCCUUUUGUAUCACCUUUGGUUCACCCCUCAUAGGCGACUUUGGCCUCCAACACUCCAUAUGGAAUUCUUUCUUCCUGCAUGUAGUGUCUAACCAAGACCCAGUCCCCGGACUCUUCCUCCCAUCCGGCAGAUCUCCGCCCACAUCCUCCCAUUCACAAACUACCGGUUACAAGCCCUUUGGGACAUAUCUCUUGUGCUCUGAACUUGGUUGUGCUUGUUUUGACAACCCUGAUUUAAUUUUGGGAUUGCUUAAAGUCAUAUCAUCAGAGGUUGCCGGAGGAUUGCAGGAUGUUGACUAUGGGGAGAUUUUAAGAAACCUCAAGGAGAGGGCAAUCUGCAAGGGACUGCCGCAGGUGGGUGAACGGUUUGCAGAUCCAUUUUCAGCUGGGAUCAUCAUGGAACUUGAGACAAUUGGAUUUAAUCAAACAAAGGUAAACAGCUUUCUCCCAUCUAAUGAUGUUAUGAAACAUGGUUUACACUACACCAAAUACUGCAAUAACUGCCCUAUUCAGAUUUAUCUUCUUGUUCUUUGGGAUCUUCCAUAACUAGUCUCAUUUUUAAAAUUCAUGGCAGUUGCUGCAGCAUAACAUUGAUAUCAACGCUAUGAUAAGAACAAUGGAAGCGGAAACCAGAAGCCUAAUCCAGAAAAAUAAAGCUUCCGAUGCCAAGAAACUGAAUGACAUAAAAAGAGACAUGGCCCAUCUAGAAUGGUAUAAGAAGAAAUCGGAAAUGGGUUACUACGAUUGCUUCAAAAAUCAGGGGUCUAAAAGGGACAUCAACGUUGAACAAUUUAGGGGAAACCUCACAAUGUACUGGGAAGACAUGGUUGCACAAGUACAGAGGAAGCCCCAGAAGGAAGGAGCAACAUUUCGAACCCGUUGGUUCUAUGCAGGGACAGUUUAUAGGAGAAUGGUUGAACCACUGGACAUUGCUGCCUUCUACAGAGAGGGUGGAACAGACUACAUAAACAAUGGAAGAUCUCUUCAUUACAAGCUGUUGCAGCAAUGGUAUGAAGAAGAUGUGAAACCCCCCUCUAGAGAUAAGCUUGAUUCCAAGAAGCAAAAGGUGUCUGGUAUCCUAACUGAGGAUUCUUUGUUUUGGGCACAUGUGGAGGAGGCCAUCUUGUCAUGCGAAUUGCUCAAGAGUCAAAACUGUACUCUUGAGCAGGGAAAAUCAUCAUGGGAUAAUCUGGUUAAGUUCGAGGAGUAUGUAAUGGAACAUAUUAACAACUAUGCAGCGUCCCCUGAGAUUUUCUCGAGGGAAAGCAGCUUCAUGAAAUGGUGGGGACUGUAUGAGGGCUACAUAGAUACUUGCAGUAAUUCCCAUGGGUCGCCAUUGAUCAACUUCAUGAAGAAACGUAGCUAUAUGAAGUAUGGUUAGAGGGGCAAUCCAGUUUGUGUGUUGUGUUUGUUGUUUUGUGAGCGUUCAAUGGAUAAAACUAGAAAGAGUGACCUUUUUCCCUUUUUCUUGGUUGCUGCCCAUAUUCUCAGCACUAUUUUCUUCCUUCUUUUCCUCUGUUUUUUUGUUAAGAAAUGAAUAUUAUGAUGUUGCUGGGAUGCACUUUCAUUGUUGUUCUAUUACAUUGUGUUUUAUUUAUAUCCUAAACAAAUAAAUCAAAACAAGAAAAUCAAAUAAGACUUAAAGAGUCUUUUCCUUCAAAAAAAAAAAUGGGGAAAAAGAAAAACAUUUUUGUUUAGAUUCAACUCCACCAAAACUUGCAACAACUUCCCAUUGAAAAAUUCCUUUUAAGCUUCUGAAUGAUAUAAAACCAGAUAUGUUCCAGCUAGAAUGGUACAAGAAAGAAAUCAAAAGAUGAGUACAGUGGGUUAUUAUGACAGCUUUAGAAACCUGGGGUGUAAAAGAGACAUUAAAAUGGAACCGAUGGGAAGACAUGGUAGAACACGUAGAGAGGAAGCCUCACCAGGAAGGGGCAGCUUUGCAAACCCUCUGGCUCUGUACAGGAACGAAUUAUAGAAAGAUGGUUGAACCACUUGACAUUGUUCCCUACCACAGAGAGGGUGGAAGACACUACAUAACAUUACACGCUAUUGGAGCAAUGAUGCAAUGAAGAGGAGAAGGGGGCUUUGUCUUCUCAUGCAAAUUGCUCUCAGAGCUCAGAACCUACUCCUGAAGGGAAAGAAUCAUCAUUGAGUGAUCUGGUUAAGUUUGAGGAUUUAUUUAUAUAAUUGAACUGAUUGGAAGCUAUGCAGUGUCGGCCCCCGCCCGAGCAGCUUCAUGAAACGGUGGAAAGAGUUGGAAGAAGUCAUAGAUACUUGCUAUAGGAGCUUCAUGAAGUAUGGAGAGGUGUGGCAUAGAUACUUGCAGUCUCUGAAUUUCCCAAAUCCAAUUUCAGAUUGUGUAUUUAGAUUCGUGGAACUUGUUUUCUUGCUUUUUGUUAGGUACAAUUGAGAUGGGCUGAACCGAAAGGCCCGCCAGGAUGAACAAUAUAAUGGGCCUGAAUUUUAAACCAGCGGAUGGGCUUUGUACUGGAUUCAGCUGUCUGAGCCCAAUGAGUAUUGAAUGUAUUUCUGUAUAAAAUUAAAUUUUUAACAUUGAAAUAUAAGGACUUACUUAAAAACACAUUUGGUAACUUUUUUUUUUUUAUGGUUAAUAAUAGAUUUAAAAAAAAAUUAAAAAUAUAUAAUUUUUUAGGAUAAAUUUGAGGCAUGUUUAGGUAUUUUUCGUGGUAAAGAGUUUUGAGAAGCAAUGGGAAAUAUACAGAAUACUUUAAAAACUUUUGCAUAAGUAAGAUACUUACACGAGGCUUUCAUGAAAAAUAAAUUGAUAAAAACAAUUCUCAUAUUUAAAUUUCGAAACAUAAAACAACUCAGAACUGUUUUUAAAAAUUGUUCUUAAAAAUAGUUUUCUAUUAAGUCACAUUCAAGGAUGCUUUUAUCUUUUAUUUUUCUAUGUUUCAUCCUUGCAUAAAUGGAGUACAAAGACAUAAGUUAAUCUAAUUAACAAAUAUAGAUAAUCAUCCGAUAAAAGAGUAAAUUAGGUGAUGAUCUCUUUAUAUAUGCAAGUAAUGGAAUGAAUGUGAUGAAAAAUAAAAUAAAAAAGUAAGGGGAGAAAUGUUGUAAAUAAAGUGUUUUUAUUGUAGUUCAACGACCUAUCCACUUCCGCACCUUGACAUAUUUCACAAUUUUAAAAGUUUUCUUAAUCAUGAUUCUCUUUAUUAUUCUUUAAGUCCGGAUUUCUUAUGUUUCAAUAGACUUUUACAAUCACUAAGAUAGUGUUUGUUUUUUCACUUAAUUCUAAAUAUAACUUAAAACUAAAUAAUAUUUAAUAAUAUCAGGAUUAGGUUGUUUUUUUUAUAACAUUUUAUUUCUAUAUAAUAUUAAAAAGUAAAGAAAAAUCAAUAUAUUAUUUUUUUCAUUUAAAAAAAGUCAAAUAUUUUGACUUUUUUUUAAGCUAAAAAUUUAUAAUAAAAAAUAAAAAACAAACAAACAAACAAACAACUUAAAGUGUAAAAAUAGAUUGUUUUCAAUAAAAAUUUAAAAAAAAACAAACACCUUCUAAAUAAAAUUCCUUAACCACUCGUUCAAUAGCUCCUUUAAGCACAAAAUGUAUUGAAGUGCUCACAAUGAAAAGAUAAACAAGUUUUGAUUCAAUAUAAUUUUGGGUUAUCUAAUUAAAAGGGUCAUUGAAAACCCAAUUUUAGAAAUAUAACCCUUCAUCAUUUUUUUAUCUCGUGUUAACAAAAAUGCUCUUAUUAUUUUCUUAUAAAAAUAAUCAUUUCUUUUAAAACACACUAUAAAUACUCCAAAUAGCCAAGGGCUUUUAUGUAAAAAAAAAUGAAUUACUCUUCAAAUAAAAAUAUUGGAGGGAAUAAAUUCACAAAUAUGAGGUAUUUCAUCCCUUUUAAAUAAUUAUUUCUAUAAUUUUAAGAGUUUAAGAAGGCUAGACAAAGACUAAUUAUUAGGCACAUUUUGUAAAAACACUAGUUAUUAGACACAUUUUUUGCUCAAUCAAGCAAUCACACAGUUGACUAAACACUAAUUAUUGGACUUUUUUUUUUUAUAAUAAGUGGAAGACAAGAAUACAAUCGACUACUUUGGUCAAUUAAGCAAUCAUUCAGUUGACUAUAAACUAGUCUUUAGACAUUUUUUUUUAUAAUAAUUGGAAGACAUGAAUACAAUCGAUUACUUUGGUCAAUUAAUCAAUUAUUCAAGAAAUUUAGAAAAAUAUUGGAUAAAAGAUAUAUAUAACGGAUUAUUUCAAAUUGAAACUUAAGAUCAUAAAUCUUACUUUUAAUGUUGAAAAAUCAUGUAAAACACAAGUUUUUAUCUUUGAAGUAAUCAAUUUCAUUUUUCACAAAAAAUCAUUAAUAAUACAUGAAUGAAUUCUUUUAAAAAAAUCUUAUAAAAAAUGUGAUUAUUUUUCAUUCCCAAAUAUUUAGGUUCUAAAGGUCAAUUUUAAAGCAUACUUAUCCUUACUAUGCCUUACAAGAAAAUCUAUUCUAUACAUAUGAUCUUGUAAAAAACUGUAAAUAAAAAAGAAAAAAAGAAAAAAAACCUCUCUUGUUUUCCUCUUUUGAUUGGAUAUCAUUAUCAUACUUAAAAUUAAAUAUUUAAUCAAAAUAUUAUUUUACUAUCAUCAAAAUUUAGAUUUAACCAAACUUUAGGCUAGUAUGUUGAUACGACAAGUUAAUUUUCUAUCUUAAAGUUUUAAAAACUUUUGAAAUUAAACAUUUUCUUACACAUUUAUUUUUAAAGUUUUUAGCAUAAAAUUUAAAAUUGAAGCUUUUAAAGGAAAACCUCAUAAUAUAAUAUACUAGAAAGACAUGGUCAAACAAAUAGAGACGAAGCCUCAAAAGGAAGGGGCAAUGGUUGAACCACUUGACAUUGUUGCCUACUACUAAGAUGGUGUAAGAAACAACAUAACCAAUGGAACAUAUGCACAUUAAACAUUGUACAAUUAUUAUAAAUGUCUUAUACAUUAUGUGUGAAAAUACCAAAAAAAAAGAAAAAUUAUAUUCAACAUUUACAUUUGUAUACAAACAAUGUUUUCGACAAUUUGAUAUAAAAAACAAAUAAAAAAAAUAAAGAAAAACAUACAAAUAUAUUUACAAUGGACAAACUUAUUCAAUUAGUAUAAAUAUCUUGUAUAUUUAAUACAAAUACCUUAUACUUUGUGAAAAUGUAAAAAUAUAGUAUUUAAUAUUUAUACAUGUGGGUAAGUAAUUUUUCUAAUGGUUUGAUUUAAAAAACAAAUAAUGAGAAUCAAGAAAAACAUGCAAAUAAAUUAGUGUGAAUGAUAAAGGGUGUUUUUUACCAUAAAUUUUCAUGGACUUAGCAUCAAUUAUGCAUCUAUAGAUGUUAACCCAAUUAGCAUAAUGUGAAAACCCUUGCACACAAUAUAUAAACCCUAUACUUGAAUUAGGAAGGACAAAAAAAAAAUAGUUAGAGCAAUUGGUACCAUCAAUGAUGACUUCACCUAAAGAAAGGUUAAUGAACAUUAUGUUCUCAACGGAGAGCAACUCUGGUAGAACAUAUGGAGUAAAUCAAUGCCCUUCUUUUAACGAUGAAGUAGCUAAGUCAUGAAAACAAGGUUUUGCUAACAACAUUAAAGGCAAGAAUUCCCCCAAUAUACUCCAAUUCAUAUUCAAUUCACAGACCUUCAACUAACUACUCUCAGUAACGAGCAAACCCAAGUCAAUACAUAAGAUUGAUUAUUACUUAUGAUAAUUGAAACCCUAAUUAAAUAAAUAAGGACACAAAUAUAUAUAUAUAUAUAUAGGGACAGUUGUGUUUUGGACCUAGGUGAACCCAAAAAUUAAGGUUUGGUUUAUAUAACUUACAUAAUUGAUGAAAAUGAUAUAAGAUAUCAAAAUAUCAAAAUACUCAUUGACCUUUCACAUAAGCUUUUUUGGUAUUUAUUGCACUACUAUUCAUUCAACCAUAAUAAUUCUAUUUUAACUAUUUGGAUUUUUCAUUGUUUUUUAAAACUUUUUAUUUAUAAAUAAUUGAAAAUCAACAUUAUUUUCUAUUUUAAAUUAUAAAUAAAGAAAAAUUACGUUCGAAAACUAUUUUAAAAAAUACUUUCUAAAAAAAAUGGUAAUAUGAUUUAUAUUUUUUAUAUUUUCUUUUAGAAAAAAAUAUUUAAUUAAAAAAUGAAAAAUAUUUUUAAAAAUAAAAAUUGGAAACCUUGUUUAGUACUAUUUUUUUUAUAUAAAAAUAAUAAAAAUAAUUAAAUUUCAUUUAUUGAUUAUCCAUUAAAUUUUAUAUGAAAAUUUUGUAUAAGAGUAAAAAGAUUCAAUAUCUUUAAAAAAAGAAAAAAAAAACAAAACAAAAAGUUAGAAAUGAGUAAUACUUAAUUGGGAAUAGAAAAUGGGAAAAAUUUUGAAAUUUACACUCACUAUAUGUCUACGUAGGGAUUAAGGGUAUUUUAGGGAUUAAUGAAGGAUAAUAUCUUUUAACUUAAUUUUUACAUUUUAUUUGGGUCUUGGGAUUAAAUGUACAUUAUAUAUGGAUCUUUGGUUAAUUUUUGGACCCAUCCGGACCCAAAACACAAUUCUCCAUAAAAAAAUAUUUAUUAAAAUAAAUAAAUUAAUAAAAACCAUUUAGAGAGUUUCAUAACUUAGGUGGUGUUUGUUUUUUUGGCUUUUUGGUGAAAACCAUUUAGUUUUAGAAUUUAGGUUGUUUGUUUUUUUACUUUUUCAUGACUUAUUAUAAACUUUUUACAAAAUAGAAAAAGCCAAAAUAUAUGACUUUUUCUAAAUAGAAAAAUAACACAAUGGUUUUUUUUACUUUUUAAUACUUAAUAGAAAUAAAAUAUUAUAAAAACAAACAACCUAAUAUUUAAUACUAUUAAGUAUUAAAGUUCUAUUUAGAAUUAAGUAAAAAAACAAACACCACCUAAGUGUCGAAGCUAUUGUAAGAAAAAAGUAUUAUAUAAUGUAGGGUUUAGGUUCAAAGUCUACCUAAGAUUAAAUUUAAGUCUUAAGACAAAUUCACAUUCAAAACUAGGUUUUUAAGUUAGAAAAAUAGACCCCUUAAACCAAUUAAAUGGUAAAAAAAAAUUACAAAGAAAAUUUCUCUAGCUGGUUUCUUCAUCUUGAAAACUAACGGAAACAUAUAUCAAUAUUUGGUAUGAAAAUUCGUAACCUUAGAAACACAGCUUUGAGUCUUGCUGAGAAAAACAAAGCUUAUUUGCUCGUAGACCAUCGUAGUGGUCGUCAUACCGUGUGAGGACCGGGGAAGCAUCUUUGCUCGUAGACCGGCUUUUGUAGUCUUUCUUUAACAAUUGCAAGUUGUCAGGAUUCCCUUCAUCCUCCUAUAUAAUAUUGUUUUUGGUCUUGUUCUGGUUGUAUCUCCGUGGAAGGAAGGAAGAUGAAUCAAGUUCCUUUGUAUGUAUCAAUGUCUCUGAUUCAUUUUUUGGUUCCUAGAAUCGAAUCCUCGCUCUGUUCUUGCUUAAUUUCUCCUUUUUCUGUUGGGUCUUUCACUGCAGGUUUAGCUCUGCACGGGAACUGGCAAAUUUGGUGCUGGCCUCCAAUCUAAUCGACUGUGCUUUCACCAAAAUUCUUGAACUUAAGAGAGGCCAAACAGCCUUGCCUGUUCAAUACAGACUUUAUCAACUGUCUUCCAAGUGCACAAUUGUAGCUUUUGUCUCUUCACCUGACUGCACUCAAUACCCUCUUCCUGGACAAGGAGAUUUAGAUCGGUCUCCUCUCUUUGACUUCCUCCGUACCGAAGAAUACCCGUCCGUCUCCAUUAACAGAGCAGCAUUAGACCUCUUUACCCCUCUCCAUGAUCAUCUCUCUGGACUAACAGAUGAGGUCAAAAUCUGAUACUUGUUUGAAUUUUCGUUUCCUUUUCGUUAACAAUUGUGAGACACGAAACAGCUUGACCAUGAGAUCUCCCUCAUGGAGUCGAACUACCUGAAGGAUAAGACGUCACACAUAUCCAUUUUCAUGGCAUCGUCACAUGACCCAUUGAUCGGUUGUGAUUCAACUCUUAAUAGGAAUACAGUAGAACCGGUGUUGGUAUCUGUCUUUAGAUCAGCUUGCAUAUAUCUUGUCACUGAAAAAGGAAUGUUCAGAAGUGAGAUUAGUGGCAUUAUUCUGACAUGGAUUUCAUAUGGUUACUUGUUUUGCAGUUGACUCGGAUUGAAGGUCAAUUAAUCAUCACUGGGCACUCCCUGGGAGGAUCCGUUGCUUCUCUCUUCACCUUACGCCUGCUAGACGGCAAUUUAUUAAAGCCCAAAUGCCAUCCCUUUUGUAUCACCUUUGGUUCACCCCUCAUAGGCGACUUUGGCCUCCAAGACUCCAAAUGGAAUUCUUUCUUCCUGCAUGUAGUGUCUAACCAAGACCCAGUCCCCGGACUCUUCCUCCCAUCCGGCAGAUCUCCGCCCACAUCCUCCCAUUCACAAACUACCGGUUACAAGCCCUUUGGGACAUAUCUCUUGUGCUCUGAACUUGGUUGUGCUUGUUUUGACAACCCUGAUUUAAUUUUGAGAUUGCUGAAAGUCAUAUCAUCAGAGGUUGCCGGAGGAUUGCAGGAUGUUGAUUAUGGGGAGAUUUUAAGAAACCUCAAGGAGAGGGCAAUCUGCAAGGGACUGCCGCAGGUGGGUGAACGGUUUGCAGAUCCAUUUUCAGCUGGGAUCAUCAUGGAACUUGAGACAAUUGGAUUUAAUCAAACAAAGGUAAACAGCUUUCUCCCAUCUAAUGAUGUUAUGAAACAUGGUUUACACUUCACCAUAUACUGCAAUAACUGCCCUAUUCAGAUUUAUCUUCUUGUUCUUUGGGAUCUUCCAUAACUCGUCUCAUUUUUAAAAUUCAUGCCAGCUGCUGCAGCAUAACAUUGAUAUCGACGCUAUGAUAAGAACAAUGGAAGAGGAAACCAGAAGCCUAAUCCAGAAAAAUAAAGCUUCCGAUGCCAAGAAACUGAAUGACAUAAAAAGAGACAUGGCCCAUCUAGAAUGGUAUAAGAAGAAAUCGGAAAUGGGUUACUACGAUUGCUUCAAAAACCAGGGGUCUAAAAGGGACAUCCACGUUGAACAGUUUAGGGUAAACCUCACAAAAUACUGGAAAGACAUGGUUGCACAAGUACAGAGGAAGCCCCAGAAGGAAGGAGCAACAUUUCGAACCCGUUGGCUCUAUGCAGGGACAGUUUAUAGGAGAAUGGUUGAACCACUGGACAUUGCUGCCUUCUACGGAGAGGGUAAAACAGACUACAUAAACAAGAAAAGAUCUCUUCAUUACCAGCUGUUGCAGCAAUGGUAUGAGGAAGAUGUGAAACCCCCCUCUAGAGAUAAGCUUGAUUCCAAGAAGCAAAAGGUGUCUGGUAUCCUAACUGAGGAUUCUUUGUUUUGGGCAUAUGUGGAGGAGGCCAUCUUGUCAUGCGAAUUGCUCAAGAGUCAAAACUGUACUCUUGAGCAGGGAAAAUCAUCAUGGGAUAAUCUGGUUAAGUUCGAGGAGUAUGUAAUGGAACAGAUUAACAACUAUGCAGCGUCCCCUGAGAUUUUCUCGAGGGAAAGCAGCUUCAUGAAAUGGUGGGGACUGUAUGAGGGCUACAUAGAUACUUGCAGUAAUUCCCAUGGGUCGCCAUUGAUCAACUUCAUGAAGGAUCGUAGGUAUAUACAGUAUGGACGUUAGAGGGGCAAUCCAGUUUGUGUGUUGUGUUUGUUGUUUUGUGAGCGUUCAAUGGAUAAAACUAGAAAGAGUGUGACCUUUUUCCCUUUUUCUUGGUUGCUGCCCAUAUUCUCAGCACUAUUUUCUUCCUUCUUUUCCUCAGUUUUUUUUGUUAAGAAAUGAAUAUUAUGAUGUUGCUGGGAUGCACUUUCAUUGUUGUUCUAUUAAAUUGUGUUUUAUUUAUAUCCUAAACAAAUAAAUGUAAACAAGAAAAUCAAAUAAGACUUCAAAGAGUCUUUUCCUUCAAAAAAAAAAAAAAUGGGGAAAAAGAAAAACAUUUUUGUUUAGAUUCAACUCCACCAAAACUUGCAACAACUUCCCAUUGAAAAAUUCCUUUUAAGCUCUGAAUGACAUAAAACUAGAUAUGUUCCAGCUAGAAUGGUACAAGAAAGAAAUCAACAGAUGAGAACAAUGGGUUAUUAUGACAGCUUCAGAAACCUGGGGUGUAAAAGAGACAUUAAAAUGGAACCGAUGGGAAGACAUGGUAAAACACGUAGAGAGGAAGCCUCACCAGGAAGGGGCAGCUUUGCAAACCCUCUGGCUCUGUACAGGAACGAAUUAUAGAAAGAUUGUUGAACCACUUGACAUUGCUGCCUACCACAGAGAGGGUGGAAGACACUACAUAACCAAUGGAGGAUCUAAACAUUACACGCUAUUGGAGCAAUGAUGCAAUGAAGAGGAGAAGGGGGCUUUGUCUUCUCAUGCAAAUUGCUCUCAGAGCUCAGAACCUACUCCUGAAGGGAAAGAAUCAUCAUGGAGUGAUCUGGUUAAGUUUGAGGAUUUAUUUAUAUAAUUGAACUGAUUGGAAGCUAUGCAGUGUCGGCCCCCACCCGAGCAGCUUCAUGAAACGGUGGAAAGAGUUGGAAGAAGUCAUAGAUACUUGCUAUAGGAGCUUCAUGAAGUAUGGAGAGGUAUGGCAUAGAUACUUGCAGUGUCUGAAUUUCCCAAAUCCAAUUUCAGAUUGUGUACUUAGAUUCGUGGAACUUGUUUUCUUGCUUUUUGUUAGGUACAAUUGAGAUGGGCUGAACCGCAAGGCCCGCCAGGAUGAACAAUAUAAUGGGCCUGAAUUUUAAACCAGUGGAUGGGCUUUGGACUGGAUUCAGCUGUCUGAGCCCAAUGAGUAUUGAAUGUGUUUCUGUAUAAAAUUAAAUUUUUAACAUUGAAAUAUAAGGACUUACUUAAAAACACAUUUGGUAACUUUUUUUUUUUGGUUAAUAAUAGAUUGUUUAAAAAAAAAUUAAAAAAAUAUUAUUUUUUAGAAUAAAUUUGAGGCAUGUUUAGGUAUUUUUCGUGGUAAAGAGUUUAGAAGCAAUGAGAAUAUAUAUAGAAUACUUUAAAACUUUUGCAUAAUACUUACUUACAUGAUGCUUUCAUAAAAAAUAAAUCAAUAAAAACAAUUUUCAUAGUUGAAUUUCAAAACAUAAAACAACUCAGAAUUGUUUUUAAGAAUUGUUCUUAGAAAUAGUUUUCUAUUAAGUCACAUUCAAGGAAUCGUUUUCAUAUAUGCAAGUAAUGGAAUGAAUGUGAUGAAAAAUAAAAAAUAAAAAGUAAGGGGAAAGAUAUUGUAAAUAAAGUGUUUUUAUCGUGGUUCAAUGACCUAUCCACUUCCACACCUUGAUGUAUUUCACAAUUUUAAAAGUUUUCUUAAUCAUGAUUCUCCUUAUUAUUCUUUAUGUCGAGAUUUUUUAAGUUUUAAUAGACUUUUUCAAUCACUAAGGUGGUGUUUGCUUUUUCACUUAAUUUUAAAUAUAACUUAAAACUAAAUAAUACUUAAUAGUAUCAACUAUUAAGUUGUUUGUUUCUAUAACAGUUUAUUUCUAUAUAAUAUUAAAAAGUAAAGAAAAAUCAACAUGCUAUUUUUGUCAUUUAAAAAAAGUCAAAUAUUUUGAAUUUUUUUAUUUAGCUAAAAAUUUAUAAUAAAUCCUAAAAAGAUAAAUAAUAAUAAUAAUAAAUAAAUAAAUAAAUAAAAACAAAUAAACAACUUAAAGUCUAAAAACAAAUUGUUGUCAACAAAAAAUUAAAAAAACAAGCACUUUCUAAAUAAGAUUCCUUAACCACUCGUACAAUAGCUCCUUUAAGCACAAGAUGUAAUGAAUGAAUACAACUUUGGUGAAAUAACUAAAGUGCUCACAAUGAGAAAAUAAACAAGUUUGGAUUCAAUAUAAUUUUUGGCUAUCUAAUUAAAAGGGUAAUUGAAAACCCAAUUUUGGAAAUAUAACCCUUCAUCAUUUUUUUUACCUCAUUUUAAUAAAAAUACUCUUAUUAUUUUCUUAUAAAAAUAAUCAUUUCUUUUAAAACAUACUAUAAAUACUUCAAAUAAUCAAGAGCAUUUAUGUAAAAAAUGAAUUACUCUUCAAAUAAAAAUAUUGGAGGGAAUAAAUUCACAAAUAUAUGGGGUAUUUCAUCCCUUCUAACUAAUUAUUUCUAUAAUUUAAAGAGUUUAAGAAGGCAAGACAACUAAAUAAAUGAAGUUUUCAAGUUAUUGUCUCUAUCAUAAAUAAAGUCCAAUAAUCACAUUUGUAUCGUUUUGUACAAAGACUAAUUAUUAGGCAUAUUUUGUAAAAACACUAAUUAUUAGACACAUUUUUCGCUCAAUCAAACAAUCACACAGUUGACUAGAAACUAGUUGUUGGACAUUUUUUUUUAUAAUCAUUGGAAGACAAGAAUACAAUCGACUACUUUAAUCAAUUAAGCAAUCAUACAGUCGACUAUAAACUAGUCAUUGGACAUUUUUUUUAAAAUCAUUGGAAGACAGGAAUACAAUCGAUCACUUUGGUCAAUUAAUCAAUUAUUCAAGAAAUUUAGAAAAAUAUUGGAUAAACGACAUAUAGUGGAUUAUUUCAAAUUGAAACUUAAGAUCGGAAAUCUUGCUUUUAAAUCAUGUAAAACACAAGUUUUUAUCUUUGAAGUAAUCAAUCUCAUUUUUAACAAAAAAAAUCAUUAAUAAUAUAUGAAUGAAUUCUUUUAAAAAAUGUGAUUAUUUUUCAUUCCCAAAUACUUAUGUUCUAAAGGUCAAUUUUAAAGCAUACUUGUCCCUACUAUGCCUUAUAAGAGAAUAUAUUCUAUACAUGUGAUAUUGUAAAAAAGUUUAAAAAAUAAAUAAAUAAAUAAAUAAAACCUCUUUUGUUUUCCUCUUUUGACUAUAUAUCAUCAUUAUCAUACUUAAAAUUAAAUAUUCAAUCAAAAUAUUAUUUUAUUAUCAUCAAAAUUUAAAUUUAACCAAACUUUAGGCUAGUACGUUGAUAUGACAAGUUAAUUUUCUAUCUUAAAGUUUUAAAAACUUUGAAAUUAAACAUUUUCUUACACAUUUAUUUUUAAAGUUUUUAGCAUAAAAUUUAAAAUAAAAAAAUACAUUAUUUUCAAAUUCAUUUUGAAAAUUUUUAUUUUAAAAAUAAAAAAUUUAAUAAAAAAAAAUGCAGGCCAGUUUUUUUUCCCUCUUUUUACCCUACAGUUUAAUUAAUUUGAGGUUAGAGGAAAGCUAUGAAAGAAAGAAAAUAAAAAUAAAAAAGAAAAUGAAAGAAUGAAAAAUAUAGCAAAAAAAUUUAAAAGAAAAAAUCUACAAGCUAAUAUUUUUUUCUUAUUUGAGAUGAUAUUUUAUAUUUAGCUUUACUACAAGCUAAAGUCACCAAAACCAUGAUCACAAAAGGGUAAUAUUGAUAUAAUGAAAGAUUAUGAAAAAAAAAAAGUUCUAUAACAAGCAAUAUUUGCUUGACUUUCAUUUAAAAAAAUUUAAAAUCAAAAUACUUUUAGUAAAAUUAUCUAAACAUGUCAAACCUAAACGAAGUGAGUGUUUCAUAUUAAGUUAUUUUUUAAGCCAAAAAACUUAUUUUAAUAGAAUUAAUCACAUAGAUAAAAAGUUGCUAUCGUGGUGGGAAAAAGGUUUUCUUUCAUUUAUUAAAUGCUAAUAAAUUUUGAAUUAUUGAAUUCAUAAAUCUUUUAAUAAAGGUCUCAUUACGUUACAUCUAAGGUUUUAUUGUGUUGGCAUCUUAUGUCUGGUGUUAUUAUUUAUUUUAUAUCCAUUUUAUUGUUUUAUAGUUUAAUCUCAUUUGAUUGUACUAUCAUUAAAUAAUCUAAAUUUGAUUACUAUGAGAUUUUAAAGUUAGAUAUGAUGUCAAUCAUGGUAUAGAUUUUGAAAGAUAUUAUCAAAUCAAAUAUUUAGGGUAUUUGAUAAAUCAAUUUAAUAACUUAAAAUGAUUUAAUAAUUUAUUUAUAUUAAUUUAAAGUUUUCAAAUAAAUUUUUUUAUAAAUAUAAUUUUAGAUUUAAGUAAAGAUAAGUUAAUUUUAAAUUUUAAAUUAAAAUAAUUAACUCAUUCUUAGUUAAAUCUAAAACUAUAUUUAAAAUAAAUAAAAACAGAGAUGGAUAUAAAUUAAGUCAAUAACUCACUUUAAAUCAUUGACUUGAUUUACCAAACACUUCAAAAUCUCACAUUUACAAGACCUGAAGUGGAUCCUUUUCAAUGAAUAUUGUCAUAUUUGUUGGAGUGUACCCAAAAUCCAAAUAUUUCAGUCUUUUUUCUCUUUAUUUCAUUUUAAAAUAAAAUAAUAAUCAUUAUACCAUGAACUUUCAAAAGUACCAUCAUUAUGUCAGUGGAGAUGGGAAGCUGAAAGCCUGAAACAAAUCAAUGGUGAAAGACACCAGUUUUCCAACAACAAAAAAGGCCAAAUCUGAUUCCAACUCAUCCAGUCUAUCUGUGCACUUUGACAACUGAAACACUUUAUUCCAAUUCACAUUUCACUAGAAAUUCCAUUCCAUAUCUACUCAAUAUUCACUGAAAAGGGUUUACAAUGAAAUAACAACUNNNNNNNNNNNNNNNNNNNNNNNNNNNNNNNNNNNNNNNNNNNNNNNNNNNNNNNNNNNNNNNNNNNNNNNNNNNNNNNNNNNNNNNNNNNNNNNNNNNNGAAAUUCAAAGAGCAACACUACUAACAUCUCAGAAUCCUCUGUGCAAUCACUACCAAAACUUUUCCUUACACAUGAAUGAAGAAAUGAGGCUGUACAUAUAUAAUCUGCGGAUGACAACAUGCAAGAAUGCAAAUGGGGGAAAUGGGGAAACAAAUAUUCUAGACAGGGUCUUAUUGGAAAGAAUCUAGGAUUGGGGCUUGAAGAAAAAUGGAAGAAUGGCAUCAUAAGACUGCAGUCUGAGUGGGAGAAGAAUUCAGGCGGGAGAGACAGGUUGAAGAUGAGUUCAGUAAUGAGCUCUCAAGGCUUGGGCAUGGUUCAGGGAACACCCAUUGGGAGAACCCAGAGACAUUUGAGCAAACCCAAGAGAUGGAGGCAGGAGGAGUAGUUGAUAGGGAGAUGUUGGAUAGACAAAUGGAAGUGAACGGGGAUUCUUGAAUACCAGUGAAGCUUCCAGCAAUGGUUAUGUUUGUGCCGAUCACAUUCUGCAAGGUGAUGUGAUCCAAGACAGGGAGUGCAUUGGGGUCAAAAUGGUCAUCUGGGUGGGAGCCGAUUUGGCCUGUUGCACUGAAGGCUGUGUGGAUGUUUUCCAUUGCGACAUCUGAUAUGAUGAUUUCUUGGAUAUAACCACCUCUUCCCUUGGUAGUUCUGAACUCGAUGCCACUGAAUGAGUUGUAUAGGUGGACCUGCUCCACACAGACGUUAGAAAUGCCACCAGACAUCUCACUACCGAAGGCCAGGGAAGAGCCAGAUGAUGAUUGAAGGUUGACCCGUCUGAUGUGUACAUUUGUGGUGGGUCUACCAUAGGCAAUGCCAUAUUCAUCCCAGCCACUCUUGAGUGCAAUGGCAUCAUGGCCCAUGGCAAUGCUGCAAUCCUCUAUGCAGGUGCUAUCUGAAGAAUCUGAAAUCAAAACAUUAUACAAAGUUGACUUAGCAAAAUUCUUUUCAUGACUGAACCCUUCCUGAACAUAGAAAAAAGUAAAAUUAUAAUCUACAUGAACCACUAAACAAACCACAGGUAACAACCUGUUUCCUCUUUCAACAAAUAUCCCUAUCAAUAUACUUAAACAUUCAUAUAUACAUUAAAAACUAAUAUAGAUUUUCAGAAAUAUCUUACCAAUCGGAAGAGGGUUCAAACAAUAAACAAAGACAAAACAAUUCUAGCACUGAUAAUUAAAGAUCCAAAAGUUUAUCAAAUUUAGUAAAAAGAAACAGACCAAAACCUACAAAAUUAUUGUUAAACAAGUGAAAAACAAAACAUUAAAUUAUCUAUUAUCACUCUUGGAGACUGACGGUAUGAAAAUAAGUUCAAAUGCCUCAGAUUCCUUCACCUCCAUUCUUAAUUCCUAGCCUCUUCAACAACCAAGUUUCAAGUACCUUAAUUCGUCCAUCUCCAGAACUGAUAGCAAAGAAGUCCAAAGAAGGGGUAAAGGUUGUUAAUAAAUCUCGGAUAUUCGAUGGGCCCAUGGUCCUGUAUCAAAAGAAUAAAUUAAAUGUCAAAGUCCUUACAAUUCAUAAUUUACAAAUUAGAAAUGAAAUUGUAGAUAUACGAGAGGUGUUCCAAGACGUUAUUAAGGGAGAUUGACUGUAACUGCCUAUUGAUAAAGAAACAAAACAACUUACCAUGACGAAAAUAAUAUAGCUCAAAAUCACAGUAGGAAGUGCCAAAAAAAGGUGGCAAUCCUCUGAAACAUAUGAUGAAGAAGAUAUAAAAAAAUAUAUAAGAAAGACACAGCAUUAAAAAUUUUAAAGCUCGCCAAUAUGUUGCCAAUCCAGUAAAUCAUUUCAUUAACUAAACUGAUUCAGCACUUAAGCUCUAAUAACCUUUGUUUGGUAGCCGAGAAAAUGGAAGAGAAGGAGGAAAAAAAUGCAAUAUCAUGCUAUCUGUUACUGAAUCAAGCCAAACAAUUCAGUUAAACUUGGCUGAACAGCAGUUUUAGCUUUCUUAGCCUGAAUAACGAAAAUUCAAGAUUUUAUCUAUUUUACUUUCCUGCAUUUUCUCAGCUUCCCGGUUUGUCUACGGACAAACUAGAGGAAAAUAAAAUAAAAAAUAAAAAGAAAACUAAAACCAGGUAUUUUCAGUUGUUCUCCAUAAAAAGCAAACGAAAAAUCAACAGAACUAAAUCCUGAGCAAUUACCGAUCCGGCUCAGGCUGAAUUUCCGGUUCUCUUAGAAAAUAUUAUAUAGCAGUUCCAAUAAGGGACCGUCGUGCAUCAUUAUACUAAUUUUCCUCCGUUUUUCGGCAACCAAACAGAGGAUAAACUUGUUUUGAGGAGAAGAUGCACGCUUACCUGUUUUGGCGACCGGCGGCGGCGAGAUGCAAAGAAAAAGAGAGAACGAGAGAGGGGUUUUACCUGUUUUGGCGACCGGCAGCGGCUAGAAGCAAAGAAAAAGAGAGAACGAGAGUGGGGUUUUAGGAACGCAGCCGCGUAGCUGCUCAUUUCGCAAGGGCCCCUUUUUUAUUUCUUUUUCUUUUUUUUCAAUUUUAGGAUUUUUCAUUUUAGCCUCCAUAUUUGAGUGUAUUUAGAUUUGUGGAACCUGUUUUGGGGCUUUUUGUUAGGUACAAUUGAGAUGGGCUGAACCGAAAAGCCCGCCAGGAUGAACAACAUUAAUGGGCCUGAAUUUUAAACCUAUGAAUGGGCUUUAUACUGGAUUCAGCUGUCUGAGCCCAAUGAGUAUUGAAUGUGUUUCUGUAUAAAAUUAAACUUUUAACAUUGAAAUAUGAGGACUUACUUAAAAACACAUUUGGUAACUUUUUUUUUUGGUUAAUAAUGGACUUUAAGAAAAAAUUAAAAAUAUAUUAUUUUUUAGAAUAAAUUUGAGGCAUGUUUAGGUAUUUUUUGUGGUAAAGAGUUUUGAGAAGCAAUAGAAAAUAUAUAGAAUACUUUAAAAACUUUUGCAUAAGAUACUUACUUACACGAGGCUUUCAUGAAAAAUAAAUCGAUAAAAACAAUUUUCAUAUUUGAAUUGCGAAACAUAAAACAACUCAAAACUGUUUUUAAGCAUUGUUCUUAAAAAUAGUUUUCUAUUAAGUCACAAUCAAGGAAGCUUUUAUCUUUUAUUUUUCUAUGUUUCAUCCUUGCAUAAAGGGAGUAUAAAGACUAAAGUUAAUCUAAUUAACAAAUUUGGAUAAUCAUCCAAUAAAUGAGUAAAUUAGGUGAUGAUCUCUUUAUAUAUGCAAGUAAUGGAAUGAAUGUGAUGAAAAAUAGAAAAAAGUAAGGGGAGAAAUGUUGUAAAUAAAGUGUUUUUAUUGUGGUUCAAUGACCAAUCCACUUCCACACCUUGACAUAUUUCACAAUUUUAAAAGUUUUCUUAAUCAUGAUUCUCCUUAUUAUUUUUUAAGUCCGGAUUUCUUAAGUUUCAAUAGACUUUUACAAUCACUAAGAUGGUGUUUAUUUUUUCACUUAAUUCUAAAUAUAAGUUAAAACUAAAUAAUAUUUAAUAAUAUCAAGUAUUAGGUUGUUUUUUUUUAUAACAUUUUAUUUUUAUAUAAUAUUAAAAAGUAAAGAAAAAUCAAUAUGUUAUUUUUUUCAUUUAAAAAAAGACAAAUAUUUUGCCUUUUUUUUAAGCUAAAAAUUUAUAAUAAAAAAAAAAAAGCAAACAAUUUAAAGUGUAAAACAGAUUGUUUUCAACAAAAAUUUAAAAAAACAAACACUUUCUAAAUAAGAUUCCUUAGCCACUUGUACAAUGGCUUCUUUAAGCACAAAAUGUAAUAAAUGAAUACAACUCUGGUGAAAUGACUAAAGUGCUCACAAUGAGAAGAUAAACAAGUUUGGAUUCAAUAUAAUUUUGGGUUAUCUAAUUAAAAUGGUCAUUGAAAACCCAAUUUUGGAAAUAUAACCCUUCGUCAUUUUUUUACCUCAUUUUAACAAAAAAAAGCUCUUAUUAUUUUCCUAUAAAAAUAAUCAUUCCUUUUAAAACACACUAUAAAUACUUCAAAUAGCCCAAGGUUUUUAUGUAAAAAAAAAUGAAUUACUCUUCAAAUAAAAAUAUUGGAGGGAAUAAAUUCACAAAUAUGGGUAUUUCAUCUCUUUUAACUAAUUAUUUCUAUAAUUUUAAGAGUUUAAGAAGGCUAGACAAAGACUAAUUAUUGGACUUUUUUUUUUAUAAUCAAUGGAAGACAGGAAUACAAUCGACUACUUUGAUCAAUUAAGCAAUUAUACAGUUGACAAUAAACUAGUCGUUAGACAUUUUUUUUUAUAAUAAUUGGAAGACAUGAAUACAAUCGAUUACUUUGGUCAAUUAAUCAAUUAUUUAAGAAAUUUAAAAAAAUAUUGGAUAAAAGAUAUAUAUAUAUAUAACGAAUUAUUUCAAAUUGAAACUUAAGAUCAGAAAUCGUGCUUUUAAUGUUGAAAAAUCAUGUAAAACACAAGUUUUUAUCUUUGAAGUAAUCAAUUCAUUUUUCACAAAAAAUCAUUAAUAAUACAUUAAUGAAUUCUUUUAAAAAAUCUUAUAAAAAAUGUGAUUAUUUUUCAUUCCCAAAUACUUAGGUUCUAAAGGUCAAUUUUAAAGCAUACUUAUCCUUACUAUGCCUUACAAGAAAAUCUAUUCUAUACAUAUGAUUUUGUAAAAAAGUGUAAAUAAAAAAAAUAAAAAAUAAAAAAUAAAAAAUAAAAAAAACCUCUCUUGUUUUCCUCUUUUGAUUGGAUAUCAUUAUUAUACUUAAAAUUAAAUAUUUAAUCAAAAUAUUAUUUUACUAUCAUCAAAAUUUAGAUUUAACCAAACUUUAGGCUAGUAUGUUGAUAUGACAAGUUAAUUUUCUAUCUUAAAGUUUUAAAAACUUUUGAAAUUAAACAUUUUCUUACACAUUUAUUUUUAAAGUUUUUAGCAUAAAAUUUAAAAUUAAAGCUUUUAAGGAAAAACCUCAUAAUACAAUAUACUAGAAAGACAUGGUCAAACAGAUAGAGAGGAAGCCUCGAAAGGAAGGGGCAAUGGUUGAACCACUUGACAUUGUUGCCUACUACUAAGAUGGUGUAAGAAACAACAUAACCAAUGGAACAUAUGCACAUUAAACAUUGUAUAAUUAUUAUAAAUGUCUUAUACAUUAUAUGUGAAAAUACGAAAAAAAAAAUAAAAUAAAAUUAUAUUCAACAUUUAUAUUUGUAUACAAACAAUAUUUUCAAUACUUUGAUAUAAAAAACAAAUUAAAAAAAUGAAGAAAAACAUAUAAAUAUAUUUACAAUGGACAAACUUAUUCAAUUAGUAUAAAUAUCUUGUAUAUUUAAUACAAAUACCUUAUACUUUGUGAAAAUGUAAAAAUAUAGUAUUUGAUAUUGAUACAUGUGGGUAAGUAAUUUUUCUAAUGGUUUGAUUUAAAAAACAAAUAAUGAGAAUCAAGAAAAACAUGCAAAUAAAUUAGUGUGAAUGAUAAAGGGUGUUUUUUACCAUAAAUUUUUAUGGACUUAGCAUCAAUUAUGCAUCUAUAGAUGUUAACCCAAUUAGCAUAAUGUGAAAACCCUUACACACAAUAUAUAAACCCUAUACUUGAAUUAGGAAGGACAAAAAAAAAAAUAGUUAGAGCAUUUGGUACCAUCAAUGAUGACUUCACCUAAAGAAAAGUUAAUGAACAUUAUGUUCUCAAUGGAAGAGCAACCCUAGUAGGACAUAUGGAGUAAAUUGAUGCUCUUCUUUCGACAACGAAGUAGCUAAGUCAUGAAAAUGGGGUUUUGCUAACAACAUUAAAUGCAAGAAUUCCCCAAUAUACUGCAAUUCAUAUUCAAUUCAUAGACUUUCAACUAACUACUCUCAAUAACGAGCAAACCCAAGUCAAUACAUAAGAUUGAUUAUUACUUAUGAUAAUUGAAACCCUAAUUAAUAAAUAAGGACACAAAUAUAUGUAUAUAUAUAUAUAUAUAUAUAUAUAUAUAUAUAAAAUAGAGACAAUUGUGUUUUGGACCCAGGUGGAUCAAAAAUUAAGGUUUGGUUCAUAAAACUUACAUAAUUGAUGGAAAUGAUAUAAGUUAUCAAAAUACCAAAAUACUCAUUGAUCUUUCACGUAAGCUUUUUUUGUCUUUAUUGCACCACUAUUCAUGCAACCAUAAUAAUUCUAUUUUAACUAUUUGGAUUUUUCAUUAUUUUUUAAAACUUUUUUUUUAUAAAUAAUUGAAAAUCAACAUUAUUUUCUAUUUUAAAUUAUAAAUAAAGAAAAAUUACGUUCAAAAACUAUUUUAAAAAAUAAUUUCUAAAAAAAUGGUAAUAUGAUUUAUAUUUUUUAUAUUUUCUUUUAGAAAAAAAUAUUUAAUUAAAAAAUGAAAAAUAUUUUUCAAAAUAAAAAUUGAAAACCUUGUUUAGUACUAUUUUUUUAUAUGAAAAUAAUAAAAAUAAUUAAUUUAUUAUCCAUUCAAUUUUAUAUGAAAAUUUUUUAUAAGAGUAAAAAGAUUCAAUAUCUUUAAUAAAAGAAAAAAAAAACAAAACAAAAAGUUAGAAAUAAGUAAUACUUAAUUAGGAAUAGAAAAAGGGAAAAAUUUUGAAAUUUACACUCACUAUAUGCCUAUGUAGGGAUUAAAGGUAUUUUAUGAAUUAAUGAAGGAUAAUAUUUUUUAACUUAAUUUUUACAAUUUAUUUGGGUCUUGGGCUUAAAUGUGAAUGAUAUAUGGAUCUUUAGUCAAUUUUUGGGCCCAUCCGGGCCCAAAACACAAUUCUCCCUAAAAAACUAUUUAUUAAAAUCAAUAAACUAAUAAAAACCAUUUAGAGAGUUUCAUAACUUAGUGUCGAAGCUAUUGUAAGAAAUAAGUAUUAUAUAAUGUAGAGUUUAGGUUUAAAGUCUACCUAAGAUUAAAUUUAAGUCUUAAGACAAAUUCACAUUCAAAACUAGGUUUUUAAGUUAGAAAAAUAGAUCUCUUAAACCAAUUAAAUGGUAAAAAAAAUUACAAAGAAAAUUUCUCUUGCUGGUUUCUUCAUCUUGAAAACUAACGGAAACAUAUAUCAAUAUUUGGUAUGAAAAUUCGUAACCUUAGAAACACAGCUUUGGGUCUUGCUGAGAAAAACAAAGCUUAUUUGCUCGUAGACCAUCCUGGUGGUCAUCAUACCGUGUGAGAACCGGGGAAGCAUCUUUUCUCGUAGACCGGCUUUUGUAGUCUUUCUUUAACAAUUACAAGUUGUCAGGAUUCCCUUCAUCCUCCUAUAUAAUAUUGUUUUUGGUCUUGUUCUGGUUGUAUCUCCGUGGAAGAAAGGAAGAUGAAUCAAGUUCCUUUGUAAGUAUCAAUGUCUCUGAUUCAUUUUUUGGUUCCUAGAAUCGAAUCCUCGCUUUGUUCUUGCUUAAUUUCUCCUUUUUCUGUUGGGUCUUUCACUGCAGGUUUAGCUCUGCACGGGAACUGGCAAAUUUGGUGCUGAGCUCCAAUCUAAUCGACUGUGCUUUGACCAAAAUUCUUGAACUUAACAGAGACCAAACAGCCUUGCCUGUUCAAUACAGACUUUUUCAACUGUCUUCCAAGUGCACAAUUGUAGCUUUUGUCUCUUCACCUGACUGCACUCAAUACCCUCUUCCUGGACAAGGAGAUUUAGAUCGGUCUCCUCUCUUUGACUUCCUCCGUACCGAAGAAUACCCGUCCGUCUCCAUUAACAGAGCAGCAUUAACCCUCUAUACCCCUCUCCAUGAUCAUCUCUCUGGACUAACAGAUGAGGUCAAAAUCUGAUACUUGUUUGAAUUUUCGUUUCCUUUUCGUUAACAAUUGUGAGACACGAAACAGCUUGACCAUGAGAUCUCCCUCAUGGAGUCGAACUACCUGAAGGAUAAGACGUCACACAUAUCCAUUUUCAUGGCAUCGUCACAUGACCCAUUGAUCGGUUGUGAUUCAACUCUUAACAGGAAUACAGUAGAACUGGUGUUGGUAUCUGUCUUUAGAUAAGCUUGCAUAUAUCUUGUCACUGAAAAAGGAAUGUUCAGAAGUGAGAUUAGUGGCAUUAUUCUGACAUGGAUUUCAUAUGGUUACUUGUUUUGCAGUUGACUCAGAUUGAAGGUCAGUUAAUCAUCACUGGGUACUCCCUGGGAGGAUCCGUUGCUUCUCUCUUCACCUUACGCCUGCUAGAUGGCAAUUUAUUAAAGCCCAAAUGCCGCCCCUUUUGUAUCACCUUUGGUUCACCCCUCAUAGGCGACUUUGGCCUCCAACACUCCAUAUGGAAUUCUUUCUUCCUGCAUGUAGUGUCUAACCAAGACCCAGUCCCCGGACUCUUCCUCCCAUCCGGCAGAUCUCCGCCCACAUCCUCCCAUUCACAAACUA
RNAcentral lists this long non-coding RNA (23157 nucleotides) under Vitis vinifera (wine grape). RNAcentral describes it as "long non-coding RNA (VVIN_LNC001266)". The record is from RNAcentral. Lineage: Eukaryota; Viridiplantae; Streptophyta; Magnoliopsida; Vitales; Vitaceae.